RNAcentral lists this ribosomal RNA (305 nucleotides) under uncultured bacterium. Its description in RNAcentral is "bacterial SSU rRNA". It matches the Rfam family "Bacterial small subunit ribosomal RNA", at positions 333 to 636 of the family's 1533-position model. The record is from RNAcentral.
GUUCUCCUACGGGACGCAGCAGUGAGGAAUAUUGGUCAAUGGUCGGGAGACUGAACCAGCCACGCCGCGUGAGGGAGGAAGGUACAGAGUAUCGUAAACCUCUUUUGUCAGGGAACAAAGACUGGGACGCGUCCCCGGAUGAGUGUACCUGAAGAAAAAGCAUCGGCUAACUCCGUGCCAGCAGCCGCGGUAAUACGGAGGAUGCGAGCGUUAUCCGGAUUUAUUGGGCUUAAAGGGUGCGCAGGCGGUCUGUUAAGUCAGCGGCCAAAGCCCGGGGCUCAACCCCGGCCCGCCGUUGAAACUGG